Molecule: ribosomal RNA, 792 nt
Filed under: uncultured Mycobacterium sp.
Lineage: Bacteria; Bacillati; Actinomycetota; Actinomycetes; Mycobacteriales; Mycobacteriaceae
Description: bacterial SSU rRNA
Rfam family: Bacterial small subunit ribosomal RNA
Source: RNAcentral
CGUAGGUGGUUUGUCGCGUUGUUCGUGAAAUCUCACGGCUUAACUGUGAGCGUGCGGGCGAUACGGGCAGACUUGAGUACUGCAGGGGAGACUGGAAUUCCUGGUGUAGCGGUGGAAUGCGCAGAUAUCAGGAGGAACACCGGUGGCGAAGGCGGGUCUCUGGGCAGUAACUGACGCUGAGGAGCGAAAGCGUGGGGAGCGAACAGGAUUAGAUACCCUGGUAGUCCACGCCGUAAACGGUGGGUACUAGGUGUGGGUUUCCUUCCUUGGGAUCCGUGCCGUAGCUAACGCAUUAAGUACCCCGCCUGGGGAGUACGGCCGCAAGGCUAAAACUCAAAGAAAUUGACGGGGGCCCGCACAAGCGGCGGAGCAUGUGGAUUAAUUCGAUGCAACGCGAAGAACCUUACCUGGGUUUGACAUGCACAGGACGCCGGCAGAGAUGUCGGUUCCCUUGUGGCCUGUGUGCAGGUGGUGCAUGGCUGUCGUCAGCUCGUGUCGUGAGAUGUUGGGUUAAGUCCCGCAACGAGCGCAACCCUUGUCUCAUGUUGCCAGCGGGUAAUGCCGGGGACUCGUGAGAGACUGCCGGGGUCAACUCGGAGGAAGGUGGGGAUGACGUCAAGUCAUCAUGCCCCUUAUGUCCAGGGCUUCACACAUGCUACAAUGGCCGGUACAAAGGGCUGCGAUGCCGCGAGGUUAAGCGAAUCCUUUUAAAGCCGGUCUCAGUUCGGAUCGGGGUCUGCAACUCGACCCCGUGAAGUCGGAGUCGCUAGUAAUCGCAGAUCAGCAACGCUG